Molecule: ribosomal RNA, 492 nt
Filed under: uncultured bacterium
Lineage: Bacteria
Description: bacterial SSU rRNA
Rfam family: Bacterial small subunit ribosomal RNA
Source: RNAcentral
GACGAACGCUGGCGGCGCGCCUAACACAUGCAAGUCGAACGGGGUCUUUUAAAAAAGCUUGCUUUUUUGGUUGACCUAGUGGCGGACGGGUGAGUAACACGUGAGCAACCUGCCGAGGAGUGGGGGAUAACGUUUGGAAACGAACGCUAAUACCGCAUAAUAUCUCUGGGGGCAUCCCCGGGGAAUAAAAGGAGAAAUCCGCUUUUUGAUGGGCUCGCGCCCGAUUAGGUAGUUGGUGGGGUAAAGGCCUACCAAGCCGACGAUCGGUAGCCGGACUGAGAGGUUGAACGGCCACAUUGGGACUGAGACACGGCCCAGACUCCUACGGGAGGCAGCAGUGGGGGAUAUUGCACAAUGGGGGAAACCCUGAUGCAGCGACGCCGCGUGAGUGAAGACGGCCUUCGGGUUGUAAAGCUCUGUGGACAGGGACGAUAAUGACGGUACCUGUCUAGAAAGCCACGGCUAACUACGUGCCAGCCGCCGCCGUAAAAC